AUGGAGCGCGCCAUCAUGGCCCUGGCCUUGCUGCUUGCGACACUGGCCGCCUCCGCUGUGGCCAGCCCCGUCAACAAGUCCUGCGUCACCGGCAGCGCCGGCGCCUCCGUGAGCAUCGGAUACGGUGGAGCCGGCGCCAGUGCCGGCGCCGGCGUGUCCCUCGGCGCCGACUGCCCCCGUGCGGAGGAGAUCGUCCGCGCGGCCGUCGAGCAGGCCGUCGCCGCCGACCCCCGCAUGGCCGCCUCCCUCCUCCGCCUCCACUUCCACGACUGCUUCGUCAAUGGUUGCGACGGCUCCGUGCUCCUGGACGACAAGCCGUUCUUCGUCGGCGAGAAGACAGCGGGGCCGAACAUCAACUCGCUCAGGGGUUUCGAGGUCAUCGACGCCAUCAAGGCCGAGCUCGAGCAGGAGUGCCCGGAGACCGUCUCCUGCGCCGACGUCCUCGCCAUCGCCGCCCGUGACUCCGUUGUCGCCUCUGGUGGACCCAGCUGGGAGGUGGAGACCGGCCGCAAGGACAGCCGCACGGCGAGCCUGCAGGCCGCCAACAGCAACCUCCCCGCGCCGACCUCCGGCGUCGCCACGCUCGUGCAGAAGUUCACCAACGUCGGCCUCACCGCAAAAGACAUGGUCGCCCUCUCCGGCGCGCACACCAUCGGCAAGGCACGGUGCACGACGUUCAGCGCGCGGCUCACCAGCGUGGGCGAGUCGGCCAAGGACACGGGGUUCCUGCAGUCGCUGCAGCAGCUGUGCGCGGGGUCGGCGGGGUCGGCGCUGGCGCACCUGGACCUCGCCACGCCGGCCACCUUCGACAACCAGUACUACAUCAACCUGCUCUCCGGCGACGGCCUGCUGCCGUCCGACCAGGCGCUGGCCGCGCCCUCCGGCUCCGGGGCGGAGGACGUCGCGGCGCUCGUGGCCGACUACGCCUUCGACGCGGCCCUCUUCUUCGACGACUUCGCGGCCUCCAUGCUGCGGAUGGGGAGGUUGUCACCGGCCGGCGGCCGUGACGCCGGCGAGGUCCGCCGUAACUGCCGCGUGGUGAACUAG
Molecule: ribosomal RNA, 1047 nt
Filed under: Triticum aestivum (bread wheat)
Lineage: Eukaryota; Viridiplantae; Streptophyta; Magnoliopsida; Poales; Poaceae
Description: partial small subunit ribosomal RNA
Source: RNAcentral